RNAcentral lists this ribosomal RNA (431 nucleotides) under Streptomyces sanglieri. RNAcentral describes it as "bacterial SSU rRNA". It matches the Rfam family "Bacterial small subunit ribosomal RNA", at positions 18 to 453 of the family's 1533-position model. The record is from RNAcentral. Lineage: Bacteria; Bacillati; Actinomycetota; Actinomycetes; Kitasatosporales; Streptomycetaceae.
CAUGGCUCAGGACGAACGCUGGCGGCGUGCUUAACACAUGCAAGUCGAACGAUGAAGCCCUUCGGGGUGGAUUAGUGGCGAACGGGUGAGUAACACGUGGGCAAUCUGCCCUUCACUCUGGGACAAGCCCUGGAAACGGGGUCUAAUACCGGAUAACACUCUGUCCCGCAUGGGACGGGGUUGAAAGCUCCGGCGGUGAAGGAUGAGCCCGCGGCCUAUCAGCUUGUUGGUGGGGUGAUGGCCUACCAAGGCGACGACGGGUAGCCGGCCUGAGAGGGCGACCGGCCACACUGGGACUGAGACACGGCCCAGACUCCUACGGGAGGCAGCAGUGGGGAAUAUUGCACAAUGGGCGAAAGCCUGAUGCAGCGACGCCGCGUGAGGGAUGACGGCCUUCGGGUUGUAAACCUCUUUCAGCAGGGAAGAAGCGA